CUGGCUCAGAUUGACGCUGGCGGCAGGCCUAACACAUGCAAGUCGAGCGGCAGCACGGGUACUUGUACCUGGUGGCGAGCGGCGGACGGGUGAGUAAUGCCUAGGAAUCUGCCUAGUAGUGGGGGAUAACGUCCGGAAACGGGCGCUAAUACCGCAUACGUCCUACGGGAGAAAGUGGGGGAUCUUCGGACCUCACGCUAUUAGAUGAGCCUAGGUCGGAUUAGCUAGUUGGUGAGGUAAUGGCUCACCAAGGCGACGAUCCGUAACUGGUCUGAGAGGAUGAUCAGUCACACUGGAACUGAGACACGGUCCAGACUCCUACGGGAGGCAGCAGUGGGGAAUAUUGGACAAUGGGCGAAAGCCUGAUCCAGCCAUGCCGCGUGUGUGAAGAAGGUCUUCGGAUUGUAAAGCACUUUAAGUUGGGAGGAAGGGCAGUUACCUAAUACGUGAUUGUUUUGACGUUACCGACAGAAUAAGCACCGGCUAACUCUGUGCCAGCCGCCGCGGUAAUUCGUCGUGACUGGGAAAACCCUGGCGA
RNAcentral lists this ribosomal RNA (538 nucleotides) under Pseudomonas fluorescens. Its description in RNAcentral is "bacterial SSU rRNA". It matches the Rfam family "Bacterial small subunit ribosomal RNA", at positions 19 to 546 of the family's 1533-position model. The record is from RNAcentral. Lineage: Bacteria; Pseudomonadati; Pseudomonadota; Gammaproteobacteria; Pseudomonadales; Pseudomonadaceae.